Tribolium castaneum (red flour beetle) is the source of this 937-nucleotide long non-coding RNA. RefSeq lists it as uncharacterized. The transcript has 2 exons. NCBI's taxonomy places the organism in Eukaryota, Metazoa, Arthropoda, Insecta, Coleoptera, Tenebrionidae. The record is from RefSeq and is a predicted model, not a curated record.
GUCUAGUGUGCAUCCGUUCCGAACGUUAUUGCACUUGUUUAUUACUUAUUACACAUUACCAGCAAUAUUACUUUAAGAUUUUAACUUUUACUGAUGGUUUUAUACCCAUAAGAGUUUCAAAUAAUGUUGUAGUUUUGGUUUUCACUUACAGACUCACUGACAGACUGUUACGUAUUUGUAUUGUAAAUUAUAGUGUUUGUGUUUGUGUCUAAGUUAAAAAUGCCACAGUGUUGUGUGGUUGGAUGUUCCGAAAGAUCGGACAAAAAAAGUGCAAAAAACAUCAGUUUUCAUGGGUUUCCCAGGAGAGAGAAGUCACCGAAGAGAUAUGCCGCUUGGGUGAAGAAAAUUUCAAGAAUUGAUUUUGUUCCUAAAGAUCAGACAGUAGUUUGUUCAAAACAUUUCAAAAACGAAGAUUUUGAAGUAUCUCCGAUAGUUGUCCAAAAUCUAGAAAUUAAACCAAAAGUGGCUUUAAAAAAGGGAGCUGUGCCCUCGCAAUAUUUAAGAGGUAAACAGACUGUUAAAAAAAGGUACACACGCGCCAGUAAACGUGUGCGCCAAAAAAAGAUUGCAGAAAUUACGGAAGUCACGCCAUCUACAAGUGAUAGACACCAAAAACAAACGGUGGAAGAAAUAUCUCCGCUAACUAAACCAAAAGUAAUUUUAAAAAAGGGAGCUAUGCCUUCGAAAUGUUUAAAAGAUAGAAGAACUGUUAAAAAAAGCACAGGCGCCACUAAGAGUGUACGUCAAAAAAAGAUCGCAAAAAUUACUAAAGUUACUCCGUCUACAAGUGGUAAAUAUGCCUAAAAUAAGUUUAGGCUUUUUAACAUGGAGCGAAUUUGUAGGUACUGUAGUGAGACCGUGAUUGAUGAUGGUUGAUCGAUGUUUAAAUGAUUUACAACUUAUUUUAAUUGAUUUAUUUAAUUAAUCUUGAAUUUUA